GUCUCUGUGGCGCAAUCGGUUAGCGCGUUCGGCUGUUAACCGAAAGGUUGGUGGUUCAAGCUUCCACCCAGGGACG
This 76-nucleotide transfer RNA is filed under the name Haliotis rubra (blacklip abalone). Its description in RNAcentral is "tRNA-Asn". It matches the Rfam family "tRNA". From Rfam's summary of the family: Transfer RNA (tRNA) molecules are approximately 80 nucleotides in length. The record is from RNAcentral. Lineage: Eukaryota; Metazoa; Mollusca; Gastropoda; Lepetellida; Haliotidae.